RNAcentral lists this ribosomal RNA (342 nucleotides) under Paguristes nr. tortugae UF 015380. Its description in RNAcentral is "partial small subunit ribosomal RNA". Lineage: Eukaryota; Metazoa; Arthropoda; Malacostraca; Decapoda; Diogenidae. The record is from RNAcentral.
UCGAAAUAUUAUUUAACUAGAGUAAUAAUAGUUAUAAGCUUGAAAUUCAAAGAAUUUGGCGGUACUUUAAUCUAACUAGAGGAACCUGUUUUAUAAACGAUAUGCCACGAAAAAUCUUACUUGUCUUAAGUAGUUUGUAUACCGUCAUUAUUAGAUAAUUUUUAAAGAAAAAAUUAUUUAAAUUAAUAUAAUUAAAUAUAUUAGAUCAAGGUGCAGCUCAUAGGCAAGGAAAAAUGGGUUACAAUAAAUUUAUUUAGGUGAAUUUAAGAUUAUAAAGAUUUAAUGAAGACGGAUUUAGUUGUAUAUUUAAUUUAAUAAGUUAGAUAGAAAUUGGCCCUAAAG